RNAcentral lists this ribosomal RNA (440 nucleotides) under uncultured bacterium. RNAcentral describes it as "partial 16S ribosomal RNA". It matches the Rfam family "Bacterial small subunit ribosomal RNA", at positions 338 to 795 of the family's 1533-position model. The record is from RNAcentral.
CCUACGGGAGGCAGCAGUGGGGAAUAUUGCUCAAUGGUGGAAACACUGAAGCAGCAACGCCGCGUGGAGGAGGAAGGUUUUAGGAUUGUUAACUCCUUUUUUUAGAGAAGAUUAGGACGGUAUCUAACGAAGAAGCACUGGCUAAGUCCGUACCAGCAGCGGCGAUUAUACGGAGGGAGCGACCGUUACUCGGAGUCUCUGGGCGUAAAGAGUGCUUAGGCGGGGUAAUAAGUCAGAUGUGAAAUGCUUUAGUUUAACUACAGAACUGCAUUUGAAACCGUGACUCUGGAGUGGGGGAGAGGUAGGUGGAAUGCUCGGUGUAGCGGUAAAAUCCGUAGAGAUCGAGAAGAAUACUGAUUGCGAAGGCGACCUGCUGGAACCUUACUGACGCUGAUGCACGAAAGCGUGGGGAGCGAACAGGAUUAGAUACCCUAGUAGUC